CAGAUGUUAAACUGGUUGAGCAUGUUACUAAAGAAACUUCAAGUACAAGGGUCAGCUGUCCUGAUGAGAACAAAUUGAAAAACUCUAAUUCAAAAAUCAUGAGUGAGAAGGUGGGAGAACACACUUCAAUACCUAUGGUAAAUAUUGUAGGUUCAUCAAGGCCUGAUAAAUGUGGAACAGGUGUUGAUAGAACAGUUGAGCCGGCAGAUGGUGUUGUGAAAUAUUUCAGCUCAGAUUCUCUUAAAUA
This is a non-coding RNA of Prunus mume (Japanese apricot), 247 nucleotides long. NCBI's taxonomy places the organism in Eukaryota, Viridiplantae, Streptophyta, Magnoliopsida, Rosales, Rosaceae. The record is from RefSeq and is a predicted model, not a curated record.